RNA transcript from Anguilla rostrata (American eel), 2465 nucleotides. It is a transcript of the gene named egl-9 family hypoxia-inducible factor 3, with no coding region annotated. The record is from RefSeq and is a predicted model, not a curated record. The transcript has 6 exons. NCBI's taxonomy places the organism in Eukaryota, Metazoa, Chordata, Actinopteri, Anguilliformes, Anguillidae.
ACAUGGAACUUUUCACGUAGUGCUUGAAAGGUUGUCGCCAACACAGCAUGGUAUCCAGUGUUAUAUAUCAGUGGCAAAUGGCAUCCUCCCUGGGAACAGACUCUUAUGAAAACACCAAAGAAGAAAGAGCGUCUCUUGUGAAAACAGUUUUUAAAAAAAGCUCCUCAAAAACGAACAUGAAAGGUAGAGAGGAAACAGGGGAAAUACAUCUUCGGUGUUCGGAGUUUUGUGAGAACAGUCAAAGUACUGGUAUCGAAGCCAUUGAUAGUGGGGUCUUGCCGUGCGCACUACGAAAACCUCGUAGUAAUAGGCCAAAAUCAAAAGAACACAAACGACUCAACUGUCACAAAUUGGUCUUGCAGUACGUCGUGCCCUGCAUGAACUCCUAUGGUCUAUGCAUAGUGGACAAUUUUCUCGGGAACAAAAUUGGAGACCGAAUUCUUCAAGAAGUCAUAAACAUUCAGCAGAGUGGGAAACUGCAAGAUGGGGAGCUUGCAUGCCGAAAGUUGGGAAAAAGCAAGUCUAUUCGAGGGGACAAAAUUGCAUGGGUGGGGGGAAUUGAGCCAGGUUGUGAAAACAUAGGCUUUUUACUGACAAGAAUGGACAAAAUCAUCACCUACGCCGACGGUAAACUUGGGAAAUACAAAAUCAGAGGCAGGCAUAAGGCGAUGGUUGCCUGCUAUCCUGGCAAUGGGACUGGAUAUGUGAAACACGUGGACAACCCCAACGGAGACGGCCGCUGUGUGACAUGCAUUUACUACCUGAAUAAAAACUGGGAUGCCAAGGAACAUGGGGGAAUUCUGCGGAUCUUUCCUGAGGGGAAGUCCUACGUCGCUGAUAUCGAGCCCAUCUUUGACCGCCUCCUUUUGUUCUGGUCAGACAGGAGGAACCCUCAUGAAGUCCAGCCCUCUUAUUCUACAAGGUACGCCAUCACAGUGUGGUAUUUCGAUGCAGAAGAAAGAGCUGAAGCAAAGAGGAGGUUCAGAGACUUAACAGCGUCUUCACAGGAGAGAAGCGCAGUCUGACCCUAAAGCAGCUGUGCCGCGCGGCAGUCUGGAAGCCCUGAAGCUCUUCUUCGAGGCCCCGUCCUUCUCCCUUCUUCUCAUUGCACUUCAGUCCGUCAUUCCGUCAGUACCUCACUAGCCUGUUCACGCUGCAUGAAUGGUACUCGCUCUGUCCCACAUGAUACUGUUAUGCAGAGUGGGGGAAUGAAAGAAAUCCUCCUAAUCUGGAAUAGUCCACUGGGGUAAUUAAUCUGCGGUGCGCUGCAAGACAUUUCCUGUUUCCCGAAAAGGCCUCUGUAUUCACAAGACAGUUUUGUUAAUCCAAGCAUUACUCAAUGCCCCCUUUCCUCUUUAUUUUAGCAAGAUGUCUGUUCAUAGCAGAAUAUUUCCUGCACUUUUUUAAUGCAAAAAUGUGUUUGUGAACAAAUUGGCCGUGAAUCUGGUUCUUGAGGAAAUAUAUUGCGAAAUGUAUAUUUUUGGUGUGGCCUGUCUAACAGAGCUAAUGGUGGUAAAACUACCAAGGCAAGGCUUAUAUGGAACAUGGCAUUGUUAUUGGUUUGAUCCAAUUAAACGUACAUGCAUUAACAAAAACACAGACCACAUUACUGGACAACAUGGUGUUUUGUCAAGGCAAAAAAAAAGCACAAAAAUAUUUUUAAAUGAAUUGAAGAUCACUUUGGGAUAUGGAAUGUAACUUACCCCUGUCAUUGAUUUAAUGUAAAAUUGUUAAUACUGUGUUAAUGUAUGUGUGUUGUUAUUAUGUCUGUGUAUUAAGUGUGGACUUCACUUCACAAAAAAAAGUGGGUGAUGGAUGGAUUAAUUUUCCCUCAAACAGGAACUCUUUUUCAUUAAAAAGGAUAUGUGGGGCUGGAGUUACAGUAACAAUACUAUGGGGGAGUGUGCACAGGCUAGAGUGGCAGCCACAUGGGAAUAUAAGUGUCAUACCUUCAUUGUGAUUGACAGGUGUUUCCUCCUGUGCCAGAGAAUCCCAUCACCUGAUCCCAUCAUGUGGCUGCCUCUUCUGCCCAAUCUCACCAAAUGCAAGCUGUCAGUGUUGUCCAUGUUUGUUCCGCCUCCUUCACAAUUUCCGCAUUUUUUGAUGGGAAAUAUUGAGAAUUUCAGCCAUUUAUUCACCCGCUUCCGCCACUUCUGGCCGAUCUGUACUUUGAAGAAAACAGUAGCCAGCCAUUAAAUGGCAACUUUAAUGUCCCCUCUCUGCUUCUGUGCAUGUUGUGAGGAGUUAGGUGUUGAAUCAUGUAAUGGAGAUCUCACUUUAUGAUGUGUGUGCGCGUGUCUCUUUUUAAAUGAAAACUGUGGAUCCCUGCUGUUAAUGUAAGGCUUAUAGCCAGCUUGCAUGCUGGUCAGCAAUGCUGGUGAUGCAUGGAGAAUGUUGUUGUGUGACUGUUUUCUUAAUACGUGUUUCUUAUGGGUGUUUGGGAAAUAAAUGCCUUUUGCACCUCU